GACAGAGGGGGCAAGCGUUGCUCGGAAUUACUGGGCGUAAAGGGCGCGUAGGCGGGAUGGCAAGUCGGUCGUGAAAUCCCUCGGCUCAACCGAGGAACGUCGAUCGAUACUGCUGUUCUUGAGGAUUGCAGAGGAGACUGGAAUUCCCGGUGUAGCGGUGAAAUGUGUAGAGAUCGGGAGGACACCGGUGGCGAAGGCGGGUCUCUGGGCAAUUCCUGACGCGAGGCGCGAAAGCGUGGGGAGCAAACGGG
RNAcentral lists this ribosomal RNA (251 nucleotides) under uncultured bacterium. Its description in RNAcentral is "partial 16S ribosomal RNA". It matches the Rfam family "Bacterial small subunit ribosomal RNA", at positions 524 to 776 of the family's 1533-position model. The record is from RNAcentral.